CCUACGGGAGGCAGCAGCGAGGAAUCUUGCACAAUGGGCGAAAGCCUGAUGCAGCAACGCCGCGUGGGUGACGAAGGCCUUCGGGUCGUAAAUCCCUUUUGCCGGGGAAGAAGUUCUGACGGUACCCGGCGAAUAAGCCACGGCUAACUACGUGCCAGCAGCCGCGGUAAUACGUAGGUGGCAAGCGUUAUCCGGAUUUACUGGGCGUAAAGCGUACGUAGGCGGUUCGUUAAGUCCGUUGUGAAAUCUCCCGGCUCAACUGGGAGCGGUCAAUGGAAACUGCCGAACUGGAGGGGCGUAGAGGCGAGCGGAAUUCCCGGUGUAGUGGUGAAAUGCGUAGAUAUCGGGAGGAACACCAGUGGCGAAAGCGGCUCGCUAGGCGCAACCUGACGCUAAGGUACGAAAGCAUGGGGAGCGAACCGGAUUAGAUACCCGGGUAGUCCAUGCCGUAAACGAUGAAUGCUAGACGUGGGGGGUAUCGACCCCCUCCGUGUCGCCGCUAACGCAUUAAGCAUUCCGCCUGGGGAGUACGGCCGCAAGGCUAAAACUCAAAGGAAUUGACGG
Molecule: ribosomal RNA, 564 nt
Filed under: uncultured Chloroflexota bacterium
Lineage: Bacteria; Bacillati; Chloroflexota
Description: bacterial SSU rRNA
Rfam family: Bacterial small subunit ribosomal RNA
Source: RNAcentral